CGCAACACUUGUGAAGUUAAAUUGUGGGGAUUUCGAAUGAUCAGUUCGAAAUUCACGACAGUUUUAUUAGUUUUAAAAGCAUUCAGUAUUCAUCUAAAGGUUAGCGACAAUUUUCGUGAAUUAUUCAAAAUAUAUAGCGACUUUUACCGACUUUUGACAUAAGUUUGGCGACAUUCAAUCGAUGCGCGUUGGCAACUCUAGAAAUUGUUAUAGUUGCGGAAGGUGACCGUGAGUCAUUUGUCAGCAUUCAGGCAGAGGAAUAUUUUCAAGUUCCCAAGUCCAUCCUGAAAGUUCACCGUAGAGUUGUCAAAGAUCUUCGAAGAUUUUGUGGGAACUUCAUGAAAAAUUUUGUGGCCUGUGUUUUUAAUGGUACAUAAGAAACUCAGCUAGAUGUCAAUACCCAUUGUCCAUGAGAAUAAGAGAGCUGCCUAUUUGGCAAGUUUGAGAAGCAGGAAACCGUGGAGUAUGAAAUACCUUAAAUUCUUAUAAAUCUGGAGACACUUGACAAGCAAAGGCUACUAGAACAGUUUUUCAUGAAGGCGAAUAAUGGCCAGUUACUGACGGUGGAGAUUCCCCUCAACGUUGUCAGUCCGCUGAAACUUCAAACGUUUUCUGAUUUCUGGUGAAGGUCUGGAGCUGCAAAACUUUUCAGCCCUAUGAUGGAGAAAUGAAGUUACAAACGCUUUGCAGCUCGUCAUUCAUCCUUAGUUUAACAAAGAAGAAAAUGGACCACCAAAAAAUGCCAAUAUAAUUCAACCAGUAGAAUGAAAGAAGACUCGCCUCUGUGAAGUGAGAGUUUACCAAGAUUCCAAAUAGGAAAUUGUCGUUGUUGAUUGGUCGUUCACUUGUUAUUAUCAUAUUUUUAGCUCGCAUCUUCAUAUUCCUCAAAGUCGAGGUUUGUAUCACAGGAAAAGAAGUGUAUAUCAUAACUAUUUCAUUGUGAAACCCUUUUCCUUAGUACUUUAUCACUUCUGCAUCAAUAUGUAGUUUGUAUUCAUAUAGAUGAGUACAUUUUUUUAGAUAUCAUUCAAGUUAUUACGUUUAAGCGUAGGAUAAUACAGUCGCAUUUUAUAUUAACAUCAUUCAAGAAAUAAACAUAAAGUACAAUAAUUUCAUUUAGACAACAUUGAACACAGGAACGUAAAGUACAAUUACUAUAUGAACGCCAUUAAAGACAUGAACAUACAGUAAUUUCAUGUAAAUGCUAUUCAGAAUAUGAAUGCAAAGUACAAAACCCCAUAUCAGUUCCAUUAAAGCAUAAAUAUAAAGUACAAUGUUUUAAUAUAAACAUUCCAAACAUGAACGUAUACUGUAUUUUUUUUUUAUAUAUGCUAUUCAAGACAUGAACAUAAAAUACAUUAAUUGUCUAUAGAUGCCAUUCAAAAAACGAAUGUAAAGUAGAAUAAUUUUAUGUAGCUUUCAUUUAAAACAUGAACGAAAAGGCAAAAACAAAUUUUUUAGACUCCAUAUAAGACAUGAACAUAAAGUACAGUAACUUUUUAUGUAAAAGCGCCAUUCAAGACAAACAUAUUGUACAGUAAUUUCCUAUAAACUAUUCAAGAAACUAAUGUGAAGUACAAUAAUUUUAUGUAGAUGCCAUUCAAGAUACGAACACCAAGUACUAUAGCUAUAUAAACGCCGUUCAAGGCAUGAACAUAUAAUAGUUGGCCUAUAAACGCUAUUCAAGACAACGUCAAAUUAACGUCAAGCCUAGUAGUUUGAUAAGUUAUUCAAGACAUGAUCGUAAAGUAUAUCAACUAUUAGACGCCAUUCAAGACAUUAAACAUAAACUCAGCAUUUCAUAUAGAUGCCAUUCAAGAUUUUAAUGUAAAUACAAUACUCUAUUUAUAAACAGAAGUUCUCAGUGCAUGAUAAAUAUGUUGAACUAGUUGAAUAUCCCAACACGGGUUGACAGUUGUAAUGGUAUUCAUGCAAAUUACCACAAAACAAUAAGAGUAGAGAGAUAAUUGCCUUGAUUUCCCUUUGGUACAGUAGCCACACGGUCCGUGAGUAGCCAUAACUCUAUUAUUCAUUAAAUGUAAUCGCUGUUGAAUUGUCUUCAAUUCCCUAAUUAUUCUUCGCCUUUCCACUUCACCUAAACUUUUACAUCUCGCUGACAUUCUGGGCUCUUGAAUACUUUGGUGUCGAGAGAGAGGUGUUUCUAUUAAAUUUGCUUAUGUAUAUGAAUACAAGUUUUUAAUGCAGGAAGUAUAAGGUAAAGUGAAAAACCAAGUUUCAGAAUGAAGCUAUGUUCUGAUAAUGUACUUUUUUUCAUAUGAUACAGACAGUAAUUUUUAUAGAAUGUAUGGAGGUGUGGACUGCAUAUGUUUGUAAUGUGUGAAUAGUUUAUCACCAAUGUCAACUUCUUUAGAACUUUUGUUAAAUUACCACAUUAUGCUGGUGGCCAAUCUUUUCAUUCUACUAGUGUGUUAGUUCGUCAUUAUUGGUAGUUUAUGUGAAUUGAUCUGAAGGUUAUUAUUGCUUCCGGCAUGUCUAGAUGGAGGCAAAAUUGUGUUGCAUAUACCCAGGACCCAUUGCGUACACAUGUUGUAAGGGGACUUCUGGGAAAACUUUACGAGACAUGUAAAUCUUGAGAAAAUAAAACAAAUCAUUAUA
Molecule: long non-coding RNA, 2616 nt
Organism: Macrobrachium nipponense
Lineage: Eukaryota; Metazoa; Arthropoda; Malacostraca; Decapoda; Palaemonidae
Exons: 3
Source: RefSeq, a predicted model, not a curated record